This 413-nucleotide unclassified non-coding RNA is filed under the name Trapella sinensis. RNAcentral's name for it is "partial external transcribed spacer". Lineage: Eukaryota; Viridiplantae; Streptophyta; Magnoliopsida; Lamiales; Pedaliaceae. The record is from RNAcentral.
CCUGCUUAGGCAGCGACGCCCUACCCCGCAUGCCAUCUCAAUGUUGGCACAAGCGCGUGUUAGACUUGGCCGCGAGUCGGUUUCCUGUGUUGCAUACCAGUUGCCUUGGCAUUGCUCGUACUACCGGUUGCCUUUUUCGCCCUUUGCAUCCAAUGUGCGGGGUGAACCAAAACGCGUCGGUCGUGUCCCACGUCUUCUUCGCAUCGUCGUAAGAAGGCGUGGCCCGUGACCGGUUGCUCGGACUCUCGGACGCGGUAAACACAGUGGGCAUGGGGUCUUCACUGGCCCCUGUGUGCCCAGAACAAAAUGCUCCUUACGAAUGACUGCCGUGCUCGUCUCGGACUUGGCCGUGCGGCAGCACUAUGCCAGGCUCGUGCGACGCCGGCGUCAAUGAGGAAUGCUACCUGGUUGAU